Long non-coding RNA from Puntigrus tetrazona (Sumatra barb), 383 nucleotides. RefSeq lists it as uncharacterized. The transcript has 3 exons. Lineage: Eukaryota; Metazoa; Chordata; Actinopteri; Cypriniformes; Cyprinidae. The record is from RefSeq and is a predicted model, not a curated record.
GCACGAAGUCCCAGCCGGAGGAGAAGCGGCGGUGGUCCAGGCCCCAGGACAGAGCUGACACGGCAGGGGCCCCUGAGGGCCAUCCUGAGAGAGGCACGUUCCCCGCAAUGUUCCUCUCGAUCUGAGAGACGGCCGAAGAGACGUCUACUCAGGAGGAAGAGCCAAUGAGUGCCGUUGUGGGGCGUGGUCACGUUAGCCACGCCCGCUUCUGCAGGCCGGGGGCGGGGUUUAACGCCACGUGAGCGCAAUCCCAGACGGACGCGGACACGCCCAGCCUCGCGCUGUAAUCCUGCCGGAUCCGGAAGUCCAGCCCGUGGACUCUGUAGGUGUUUUCUGCGCCGAACGUCUCCUCGAACAGACCGUCUUCUGCGGGGAACACGUGC